UAAGCAUCCAAGAGAUCCUCCCUAGAGAGCACAAUUAGGUAUGGUCGUUCUCCCCUGUCAAAAGAAUGAUUCUGAAAUCGCAAUAGGGGUAUAUAUAGGUGAGGAAUACGUCAGAAAAUGGGCCCAAGUCCAGCGAGUCACCGCCGGGCAGCACACUUAAACCGCCCAAUUGACAUGUGAAAAUAAUUGUUUUUCAACCUUCAUCAUUAGUGAAUUAACGAAAUGCGUUGAAUUUGUUAUUAAAUUAAAGAAAUUCGUUGAAUUUUUUAGUGAAUUAAAGAAAUUCUUCGAAUUUAUUAGUGAGUUAAAGAAAUUCGUUGAAUUUGUUAGUGAAUUAAAGAAAUUCGUUGAAUUUUUUAGUGAAUUAAAGAAAUGCAUUGAAUUUGUUAGAAAUUAAAGAAAUUAGUUGAAUUUGUUAGUGAAUUAAAGAAAUUN
Molecule: long non-coding RNA, 435 nt
Filed under: Vigna radiata
Lineage: Eukaryota; Viridiplantae; Streptophyta; Magnoliopsida; Fabales; Fabaceae
Description: long non-coding RNA (VRAD_LNC018289)
Source: RNAcentral